Hemicordylus capensis (graceful crag lizard) is the source of this 479-nucleotide long non-coding RNA. RefSeq lists it as uncharacterized. NCBI's taxonomy places the organism in Eukaryota, Metazoa, Chordata, Lepidosauria, Squamata, Cordylidae. The transcript has 4 exons. The record is from RefSeq and is a predicted model, not a curated record.
UGCCAGGCUACAAGGGACACCAACAUGCAUCAUCCUGGCCCAGCCAGCCUGUCAAGCCACCCAGCCACUCAGGGUGAGCAGUCAUCCUUACGACUAGCCUUCUUAUUUAUUUAUAAGGCUGGUGACAGUGCUGAUAACUUCCCUUCAUCUGCAGGAGGAGCUGCUCCCAAGCCAAGAACCUUUCUCCUAUUCUGCCAAUAAGCUGGAAAAAGAGAUGACGGAGGAAGAAAUGGUACCCAAGUUUGUAUCCUGCCCUGUCUUUAAGGAGUUUUGGAAGUAUACAUUUCCCCCUCCCGCUCACACCUAUCCUCCUAACUAGAAUCAACUAGCUACAGUGAGCCAACAUGAUCCAUUCAUCAAAUAACUUAAAGAACACACCUUGGAUUGAAGAGCUGUUUUCACACAGUUGCCCUCAAAUCGGGAGUCCAAAAUAUCUCCAAGAAUAGAAGCUAAUAGAAACUUUUUGGAGUCCCCAAAAA